UUCGGGAUGCUGGCGAGCGGCGGACGGGUGAGUAACACGUGGGAAUCUGCCCAUCGGUGGGGGAUAGCCCGAGGAAACUCGGAUUAAUACCGCAAACGCCCUACGGGGCAAAGUAGACCUCUGAUUUAAGUUUACGCCGAUGGAUGAGCCCGCGGCCGAUUAGCUAGUUGGUGGGGUAAAGGCCUACCAAGGCAACGAUCGGUAGCUGGUCUGAGAGGACGAUCAGUCACACCGGAACUGAGACACGGUCCGGACUCCUACGGGAGGCAGCAGUGGGGAAUAUUGGACAAUGGGCGAAAGCCUGAUCCAGCAAUGCCGCGUGGGUGAAGAAGGCUUGAGGGUUGUAAAGCCCUUUCAGCAGGGAGGAAAAGCGUACGGUUAAUACCCGGGCGUCUUGACGUUACCUGCAGAAGAAGCACCGGCUAACUCCGUGCC
This 435-nucleotide ribosomal RNA is filed under the name uncultured bacterium. RNAcentral's name for it is "bacterial SSU rRNA". It matches the Rfam family "Bacterial small subunit ribosomal RNA", at positions 79 to 509 of the family's 1533-position model. The record is from RNAcentral.